RNAcentral lists this ribosomal RNA (465 nucleotides) under uncultured bacterium. Its description in RNAcentral is "partial 16S ribosomal RNA". It matches the Rfam family "Bacterial small subunit ribosomal RNA", at positions 28 to 507 of the family's 1533-position model. The record is from RNAcentral.
GACGAACGCUGGCGGCGUGCUUAACACAUGCAAGUCGAACGGAAAGGCCCCCUUUUGGGGUACUCGAGUGGCGAACGGGGGAGUAACACGUGAGUAACCUACCCUUUACUUUGGGAGAACUUCAGGAGACUGGGGCUAAUACCGCAUAGGAGCUCCUGCGGCAUGGUGGGGGGUGUGAAGUUUCGGCGGUGGGGGAUGGGCUCGCGGCUUAUCAGCUUGUUGGUGGGGUAGUGGCUCACCAAGGCUUUGACGGGUAGCCGGCCUGAGAGGGUGACCGGCCACAUUGGGACUGAGAUACGGCCCAGACUCCUACGGGAGGCAGCAGUGGGGAAUAUUGCACAAUGGGCGGAAGCCUGAUGCAGCAACGCCGCGUGCGGGAUGACGGCCUUCGGGUUGUAAACCGCUUUCGCCUGUGACGAAGCGUGAGUGACGGUAAUGGGUAAAGAAGCACCGGCUAACUACGUG